CCUUUUUUGCUCUCUUAGCACACAAAGCAAUUUUCUAAAAAUCUCAAUUUAUACCUGCAUAGAAGAAUGGCUUCAUUCCAAAAGCAAUUAGCUGUGUUCAUGCUCCUCUUCUGGGUCGCUACAGUUGGCAAAUUUUCAGGGUCACCAAAGAUGCUGGUUAUGGCUGUACGUGAUUUACCUUUGGAGGUAGCUGCCAUGGAACAAGCUUUGUUUCUAAAUUCACUAAUCACUUGCCAGAGAGCAUGUAAAACAAACAACGAUUGCUCAGACGGUAUUGUUUGCAGGACAUGCCAUUAUUUUCCAGAGGAGAAUGAGAGAAUUUGUCUCGCUCGUUAAAUGGAUAUUUUCGAAUGUCGUGUGUAUGUCAUUUAAUAAUAAAGCAAUUUUGCAAUUGCUUAAGCUGUAUGUUGCACAAAUUGCACCGUCAAAUGUUUGUACUGUAAACAUGUCUUAAGUAUCGUAUGUUGUUGUGUCGUCUUUAAUUUGUUUUCAUGUUAUAUAUGUAUUAUGGUCAGUGUAUGUGUUCCACGUUAUGUAUUAUCAAUGUAUGGUGUAGAUUGUAGUACGAUGAAUGCUAUAUAUGUAUUAUCA
This is a long non-coding RNA of Nicotiana attenuata, 591 nucleotides long. RefSeq lists it as uncharacterized. The transcript is spliced from 2 exons. NCBI's taxonomy places the organism in Eukaryota, Viridiplantae, Streptophyta, Magnoliopsida, Solanales, Solanaceae. The record is from RefSeq and is a predicted model, not a curated record.